UACGUAGGGUGCGAGCGUUGUCCGGAGUUAUUGGGCGUAAAGGGCUCGUAGGCGGUUUGUCGCGUCGGGAGUGAAAACCAGGUGCUUAACACCUGGCUUGCUUUCGAUACGGGCAGACUAGAGGUAUUCAGGGGAGAACGGAAUUCCUGGUGUAGCGGUGAAAUGCGCAGAUAUCAGGAGGAACACCGGUGGCGAAGGCGGUUCUCUGGGAAUGACCUGACGCUGAGGAGCGAAAGUGUGGGGAGCGAACAGG
RNAcentral lists this ribosomal RNA (253 nucleotides) under uncultured bacterium. RNAcentral's name for it is "partial 16S ribosomal RNA". It matches the Rfam family "Bacterial small subunit ribosomal RNA", at positions 524 to 776 of the family's 1533-position model. The record is from RNAcentral.